ACCCGCUGAAUUUAAGCAUAUAAGUAGGCGGUGGAAAAUGAACCAAAUGGGAUUCCUUUAGUAAUUGCGAAUGAACAAGGAACUGCUCAGCUUGAAAAUUGGGGCCUUCGGCCUUGAAUUGUAAUUUUGAAAUGUAUUGCCAAUGGAGGCGCAGGUGCAAGCCUAUUGAAAGAAAGCGUCAAUGAGGGUGAGAUUCCUUUUUGUCAUUUGCAGUCCUCCGUGCACGGUAUAUAUUUGACGAGUCACACUCCUCGGCAUUGGAAUGCAAAGUGGGUGGUAAAUUCCAUGUAAAGGAAAAUAUAUUAUUGAGACUGAUAGCAAACAAGUACCAUGAGGGAAAUAUGAAAAGGACUUUGAAAAGAGAAUUAAAAGAGUCUGCAUUUGCUGAACAGAAAGCAAACAGAAUUGAUCUACUUGGUGAGAUUGUUACGUCCACUUGUGGGCGCAAUGGUUCUUGCCUUGAAUGUCAGCGUCUAUUUCUGCAAAUCAUUACCCUUGCACAUGAAUGGUAAUUUGCCUGUGGGUAUUGGAAUGCAUGUGUUUGCAAUGAUUUGUGAUUUGAUACAUUUGCCUGGUGUUCUUGUGUGUGCCCUCUUGCCAAGAGGGGAGGGCUCUCUUCCCUGGGCACUGCAAGCCCUUGCACAUUGUUGCUGGCAAAAUGUUUCUGCUUGACCCGUCUUGAAACACGGACCAAGGAGUCUAACAGAUGUGCAAGUUCGUGGGUGGGCAAACCUUUUUGCGCAAUGAAAGUAUUGGCUGGGAUACUUGCACCAGCAGCCGACCGAUUAGCAGACAGAGGUUUGAGUUUGAGCAUAUCCAUUAGGACCCGAAAGAUGGUGAACUAUGCCUGAACAGAACGAAUUCAGAGGAAACUCUGAUGGAGGUUCGUAUCGAUACUGACGUGCAAAUCGUUCGUCAUACUUGGGUAUAGGGGCGAAAGACUAAUCGAACCAUCUAGUAGCUGGUUCCCUCCGAAGUUUCCCUCAGGAUAGCUGGAGUUGCACAGUUUUAUCAGGUAAAGCGAAUGAUUAGAGGAAUUGGGGACACGCUGUCCUUGACCUAUUCUCAAACUUUAAAUGGGUAAGAUGCAAUGGUUGCUUUAUUGAACUUUUGGAAUAAAUGGCAAUAUCAGGUGGGCCAUUUUUGGUAAGCAGAACUGGCGAUGAGGGAUGAACCUAACGUUGGGUUAAGGUGCUUAAUUGCUUGCUCAUUAGAUACCAGAAAGGGUGUUGGUUCAUUUUAACAGCAGGACGGUGGUCAUGGAAGUCGAAAUCCGCUAAGGAGUGUGUAACAACUCACCUGCCGAAUGGACUAGCCCCGAAAAUGGAUGGCGCUCAAGCGGGUGACCGAUACCCAACCACUGUUGCAAAAAAUAUCAGUGUGUAGGAAGGCAUGGCGGUUUGUGAUGCAGCCUUUGGUGAAAACCUGGGUGAAACAGCUCCUAGUGCAGAUCUUGGUGGUAGUAGC
RNAcentral lists this ribosomal RNA (1467 nucleotides) under Alexandrium ostenfeldii. RNAcentral's name for it is "partial large subunit ribosomal RNA". It matches the Rfam family "Eukaryotic large subunit ribosomal RNA", at positions 23 to 1464 of the family's 3401-position model. The record is from RNAcentral. Lineage: Eukaryota; Dinophyceae; Gonyaulacales; Pyrocystaceae.